This 648-nucleotide long non-coding RNA is filed under the name Vulpes vulpes (red fox). Its description in RNAcentral is "lncRNA (ENSVVUG00000006288.1)". The record is from RNAcentral. Lineage: Eukaryota; Metazoa; Chordata; Mammalia; Carnivora; Canidae.
AUUUAAGAGAAAACUAGAAAUGGGACCAUCAGAAGAACAAGUGUCAUUUGAUUUAUAUAUGGUUUCCUAUAAUUGUGAAUACAUUCACUUUGGUUGCCUUGGUUUAUAUCACGUCAUAUAUUAUUUGUAAUAUAAAUUUAAGCAAUAUAGAGGCAAAUCCUACGAGGUUGUCUCCAUUGGUACUGUUCUGAUCCCAGGAUGGUGAGUCAAAGAUGAUUAUCAGAAUCUAUAGCAGCUGAUCUAGGCCUUGUAUCUGAACUACUGGACUGCCCUAAUCAAAGACUGCUAAAGAGGAUGAGACACCUCAGAAGAUGACAUGCCUCUUUGACAGAAAAUUUACCCUCACAGGAGCACAGAUGUCUCUGAAAAUUGUCAGCAAUAGAAAAGAGUAAAAAACAAGAAGAACUGGAUGAAUGCAAAGACUUCUUUUGUUUUAAACAAGCUUGAAAAGUCUUGCAGAAGUAUUGCCAUUAAAAUUAUUUCAGGGGAUCCCUGGGUGGCGCAGCGGUUUAGCGAUGAGACCCGGAAUCGAAUCCCACGUCAAGCUCCCUGCAUGGAGCCUGCUUUUCCCUCUGCCUAUGUCUCUCCCUCUCUCUCUCUCUCUCUCUCUCUCUGUGACUAUCAUGAGCAAAUAAAUAAAAUCUUUUU